CAUUUUAUCAGCUUCCCAGUUUGUUUGAGACAUGUUGUUUUUGUCCAACAAUUCAAACAAACCUUCCUUAAUAAUGUCAGAUCCUUGAAAAAUGAAAAAAACAAUAAUUUUUGGUUACUAAUUAAUUCAAAACAAAAAACAGAAUAAAGAGUAGAGAUAGAAAAGGCAUAAGUGUGUUUGUAUAUAACCUUUUUACAUUUGUGUUUUUUGCAUAUAAAAUUGGAAUCUAGGAGAAUGGAUGGACAGAAAGACUGAUAAAAAAGAAAAAAAUAACUUUUUUAUUUAUUUUCUACAGCUUUUUUUAGUGUUUUAUUCAACUCUGUUUUUCUCAGGGAACUGAAAUUCUCUUUCUUUUUCUGAUGAUGGGUUAUGGAAAAAAAUAAGGGGGUUGGAUUUGCUGGAGCUGAUGUUGCAGAUAUUGUAAUUGUUCUGUAAGUUGAAUUUUGC
RNAcentral lists this long non-coding RNA (447 nucleotides) under Nicotiana tabacum (common tobacco). RNAcentral's name for it is "long non-coding RNA (NTAB_LNC011329)". The record is from RNAcentral. Lineage: Eukaryota; Viridiplantae; Streptophyta; Magnoliopsida; Solanales; Solanaceae.